This 275-nucleotide long non-coding RNA is filed under the name Spirodela polyrhiza (greater duckweed). RNAcentral describes it as "long non-coding RNA (SPOL_LNC002441)". Lineage: Eukaryota; Viridiplantae; Streptophyta; Magnoliopsida; Alismatales; Araceae. The record is from RNAcentral.
UAACUUCUCCAUGUGUCAUGUGGGUUGUCCAAUAUCUUGCCAAAUAUCAAAUUCACUUUGUAAAGUAUUCCACAUGGUUUUAUGCUAUCAAAUAGUGCCACAUGUCAUUUUGUUUUAAACUUUUCCCAUGUAGAUGUUGCAUUGGAUGGCUACCACAUGUCACUUUGUUUUAAACUUUGCCUUUUAGUUCUUGCAUUGGAUGGCUACCACAUGUCACUUUGUUUUAAACUUUUUCCUUUUAUAUCUUACAUUAGAUGGCUACCACAUGUCACCUG